This is a long non-coding RNA of Fundulus heteroclitus (mummichog), 413 nucleotides long. RefSeq lists it as uncharacterized. The record is from RefSeq and is a predicted model, not a curated record. The transcript has 2 exons. NCBI's taxonomy places the organism in Eukaryota, Metazoa, Chordata, Actinopteri, Cyprinodontiformes, Fundulidae.
AAACAGGCGCCUUUAAAUACUGUCUGACUAACUGGUAAAAACCAUAAAACUCUCCCAGGGGUGUACAUUUAAAGAUGACUUCCUAAAACUAUCUAAAACCCUCAAUAAACCAUAACAACAACCAUAAACCAUGUAAAACCCCAAGCUAUCUACAUAAAAUCCUAAACCAAACACCAAAGAUAAAUAGAAACCUCAUAACCAUAUAAAAAGCUAAACUUGGCUCCCCUAUACAUUUCCCUGCCUUGGUCCAGCCCGGAACCUUCUUAAGGCAGUCGUUUCAGCCCCGGCCUCUUUUAGGGGACGGACCUGGACACAAGGACAAGGGCCCAACCACUCUACUAUAAAGUGCUGCAGUGCCACUGGAUCUAAAACCAGGAAAAGGAAAUGCAUUCAAUAAACAUUUAUACAAAUAA